Molecule: ribosomal RNA, 259 nt
Filed under: uncultured bacterium
Lineage: Bacteria
Description: partial 16S ribosomal RNA
Rfam family: Bacterial small subunit ribosomal RNA
Source: RNAcentral
UACGUAGGGUGCGAGCGUUGUCCGGAAUUACUGGGCGUAAAGAGCUCGUAGGUGGUUUGUCGCGUUGUUCGUGAAAAUCUCACGGCUUAACUGUGAGCGUGCGGGCGAUACGGGGCAGACUAGAGUACUGCAGGGGGAGACUGGAAUUCCUGGUGUAGCGGUGGAAUGCGCAGAUAUCAGGAGGAACACCGGUGGCGAAGGCGGGGUCUCUGGGCAGUAACUGACGCUGAGGAGCGAAAAGCGUGGGGGAGCGAACAGG